RNAcentral lists this small RNA (582 nucleotides) under uncultured fungus. RNAcentral describes it as "eukaryotic LSU rRNA". The stretch from base 216 to 369 matches the Rfam family "5.8S ribosomal RNA". Lineage: Eukaryota; Fungi. The record is from RNAcentral.
AGGGAUCAUUACCGAGUUUACAACUCCCAAACCCAAUGUGAACGUUACCAAACUGUUGCCUCGGCGGGAUCUUCUGCCCCGGGUGCGUCGCAGCCCCGGACCAAGGCGCCCGCCGGAGGAAUCAACCAAAACUCUUAUUGUAUACCCCCUCGCGGGUUUUUUUUAUAAUCUGAGCCUUCUCGGCGCCUCUCGUAGGCGUUUCGAAAAUGAAUCAAAACUUUCAACAACGGAUCUCUUGGUUCUGGCAUCGAUGAAGAACGCAGCGAAAUGCGAUAAGUAAUGUGAAUUGCAGAAUUCAGUGAAUCAUCGAAUCUUUGAACGCACAUUGCGCCCGCCAGUAUUCUGGCGGGCAUGCCUGUCCGAGCGUCAUUUCAACCCUCGAACCCCUCCGGGGGGUCGGCGUUGGGGAUCGGCCUUCCUUCACGGGGGCCGUCCCCGAAAUACAGUGGCGGUCUCGCCGCAGCCUCUCCUGCGCAGUAGUUUGCACACUCGCAUCGGGAGCGCGGCGCGUCCACAGCCGUUAAACACCCAACUUUCUGAAAUGUUGACCUCGGAUCAGGUAGGAAUACCCGCUGAACUUAA